CACGAUAAAGCUUGCUUUAUUGGUGGCGACCGGCGAACGGGUGCGUAACGCGUAUGCAAUCUGCCUUGUACAGGAGGAUAGCCCGGAAAAAUUCGGAUUAAUACUCCAUAGCAUUAUUUGAUCGCAUGAUUGAAUACUUAAAACUUCGGUGGUACAAGAUGAGCAUGCGUCCUAUUAGCUAGUUGGUGAGGUAACUGCUCACCAAGGCAACGAUAGGUAGGGGGUCUGAAAGGAUUAUCCCCCACACUGGUACUGAAACACGGACCAAACUCCUACGGGAGGCAGCAGUGAGGAAUAUUGGUCAAUGGACGAAAGUCUGAACCAGCCAUGCCGCGUGCAGGAAAAAUGCCCUAUGGGUUGUAAACUGCUUUUAUUUGGGAAGAAACCUCCUUACGUGUAGGGAGCUGACGGUACCAAACGAAUAAGCACCGGCUAACUCUGUGCCAGCAGCCGCGGUAAUAC
This 462-nucleotide ribosomal RNA is filed under the name uncultured marine bacterium. RNAcentral's name for it is "bacterial SSU rRNA". It matches the Rfam family "Bacterial small subunit ribosomal RNA", at positions 70 to 526 of the family's 1533-position model. The record is from RNAcentral.